This 520-nucleotide unclassified non-coding RNA is filed under the name uncultured Glomus. Its description in RNAcentral is "SSU rRNA". It matches the Rfam family "Eukaryotic small subunit ribosomal RNA", at positions 569 to 1088 of the family's 1831-position model. Lineage: Eukaryota; Fungi; Glomeromycota; Glomeromycetes; Glomerales; Glomeraceae. The record is from RNAcentral.
AGCAGCCGCGGUAAUUCCAGCUCCAAUAGCGUAUAUUAAAGUUGCUGCAGUUAAAAAGCUCGUAGUUGAAUUUCGGGACCAUCAUGUUGGUCGUGCCUCGGUACGUACUGGCAUUGUUGGUUUCUCCCUUCUGACGAACCAUGAUGUCAUUUAUUUGGUGUCGUGGGAAAUCAGGACUGUUACUUUGAAAAAUUAGAGUGUUUAAAGCAGGCUCACGCUUGAAUACAUUAGCAUGGAAUAGUGAAAUAGGACGUUUGAUUCUAUUUUGUUGGUUUCUAGGAUCGACGUAAUGAUUAAUAGGGAUAGUUGGGGGCAUUAGUAUUCAAUUGUCAGAGGUGAAAUUCUUGGAUUUUAUUGAAGACUAACUACUGCGAAAGCAUUUGCCAAGGAUGUUUUCAUUAAUCAAGAACGAAAGUUAGGGGAUCGAAGACGAUCAGAUACCGUCGUAGUCUUAACCAUAAACUAUGCCGACUAGGGAUCGGAUGAUGUUUAAUUUUUAAUGUACUCAUUCGGCGUACCC